GGAGUUAGCCGGUGCUUCUUCUGUGAGUGAUGUCCUUCCUGCCGGCUAUUAACCCGCAGGCCUUCUUCCUCACUGAAAGUGCUUUACAACCCGAAGGCCUUCUUCACACACGCGGCAUGGCUGGAUCAGGGUUGCCCCCAUUGUCCAAUAUUCCCCACUGCUGCCUCCCGUAGGAGUCUGGGCCGUGUCUCAGUCCCAGUGUGGCUGAUCAUCCUCUCAGACCAGCUACGGAUCGUCGCCUUGGUGAGCCGUUACCUCACCAACCAGCUAAUCCGACAUAGGCUCAUCCGAUAGCGCGAGGCCCGAAGGUCCCCCGAUUUCCCCCGUAGGGCGUAUGCGGUAUUAGCCUGGGUUUCCCCAGGUUAUCCCCCACUACCGGGCAGAUUCCUAUGCAUUACUCACCCGUCCGCCGCUCGCCACCAGGGAGCAAGCUCCCCGUGCUGCCGCUCGACUUGCAUGUGUUAGGCCUGCCGCCAGCGUUCAAUCUGAGCCAGAAUCGAACCCUGA
This 507-nucleotide ribosomal RNA is filed under the name uncultured bacterium. RNAcentral describes it as "partial 16S ribosomal RNA". The record is from RNAcentral.